AUAGAGACUCAGAGCUGCAUAUCAAUAAGCGGAGGAAAAGAAACUAACAAGGAUUCCCUUAGUAACGGCGAGUGAAGCGGGAAGAGCUCAAAUUUGAAAUCUUCAAGGUUCUACCUUGACGAAUUGUAGUUUAAAGAAGUGUUUUCUGUUGGAGUUUGGUAAAAGUUCUUUGGAAUAGGACAUCAUAGAGGGUGAGAAUCCCGUAUUUGACCAGUUACUUUCCAGCUGUGUGAUACACUUUCAAAGAGUCGGAUUGUUUGGGAAUGCAGUCCAAAAUGGGUGGUAAAUUUCAUCUAAAGCUAAAUAUUGGCGAGAGACCGAUAGCGAACAAGUACCGUGAGGGAAAGAUGAAAAGAACUUUGAAAAGAGAGUUAAACAGUACGUGAAAUUGUCAAAAGGGAAGCGUUUGACACCAGUGUUGUUUUCUCGAAAAUCAAUUCAUGAUGGCUUGAUGCUAGGUUGUUAAGACUUUAUCAGCUUACUGUCUAGUUUUCUUGUCUUUGUGAAUGCACUUUUCGUUUAACAAGUCAACAUCAAUUUCUUUUGCUGUAAAAGGGUAUGAGGAAGGUGGCUUCAUCUUCGGUUGAGGUGUUUAUAGCCUUUUACCUCUGCAGUCGGAGAGAUUGAGGUCUGCAGCGUAGACUCUUCGGGGUUAGAUACAUUUGUGCUAAGUUAUAGCUUUUCAUAGACAACUUGUUGACUAUGUUUAGUCUUGUAGCUUACUCGCUUAUGCUAUUUACCUACGCUUAGGAUGUUGAUAGUCACAGCGUGUAC
Molecule: ribosomal RNA, 774 nt
Filed under: uncultured Neocallimastigales
Lineage: Eukaryota; Fungi; Neocallimastigomycota; Neocallimastigomycetes; Neocallimastigales
Description: partial large subunit ribosomal RNA
Rfam family: Eukaryotic large subunit ribosomal RNA
Source: RNAcentral